Molecule: ribosomal RNA, 253 nt
Filed under: uncultured bacterium
Lineage: Bacteria
Description: partial 16S ribosomal RNA
Rfam family: Bacterial small subunit ribosomal RNA
Source: RNAcentral
UACGGAGGGUGCAAGCGUUGUCCGGAUUUAUUGGGUUUAAAGGGUGCGUAGGCGGCCCGUUAAGUCAGUGGUGAAAGCCUCCAGCUCAACUGGAGAACUGCCAUUGAUAUUGACGGGCUUGAGUACAGACGAGGUUGGCGGAAUUGAUUGUGUAGCGGUGAAAUGCAUAGAUACAAUCAAGAACUCCGAUUGCGUAGGCAGCUAACUAGGCUGUAACUGACGCUGAGGCACGAAAGCGUGGGGAGCGAACAGG